This 465-nucleotide ribosomal RNA is filed under the name uncultured bacterium. RNAcentral's name for it is "partial 16S ribosomal RNA". It matches the Rfam family "Bacterial small subunit ribosomal RNA", at positions 28 to 507 of the family's 1533-position model. The record is from RNAcentral.
GACGAACGCUGGCGGCGUGCUUAACACAUGCAAGUCGAACGGAAAGGCCCCUUCGGGGGUACUCGAGUGGCGAACGGGUGAGUAACACGUGAGUAACCUGCCCUUGACUUCGGGAUAACUUCAGGAAACUGGGGCUAAUACCGGAUAGGAAUCCUUGCUGCGUGGUGGGGGUUGGAAAGCUUCGGCGGUUUUGGAUGGACUCGUGGCUUAUCAGCUUGUUGGUGGGGUAGUGGCUUACCAAGGCUUUGACGGGUAGCCGGCCUGAGAGGGCGACCGGCCACAUUGGGACUGAGAUACGGCCCAGACGCCUACGGGAGGCAGCAGUGGGGAAUAUUGCACAAUGGGCGGAAGCCUGAUGCAGCAACGCCGCGUGCGGGAUGACGGCCUUCGGGUUGUAAACCGCUUUCAGCAGGGGCGAAGCUUGUGGUGACGGUACCUGCAGAAGAAGCACCGGCUAACUACGUG